This 200-nucleotide ribosomal RNA is filed under the name uncultured Mollicutes bacterium. RNAcentral's name for it is "partial 16S ribosomal RNA". It matches the Rfam family "Bacterial small subunit ribosomal RNA", at positions 335 to 527 of the family's 1533-position model. Lineage: Bacteria; Bacillati; Mycoplasmatota; Mollicutes. The record is from RNAcentral.
ACUCCUACGGGAGGCAGCAGUAGGGAAUUUUCGGCAAUGGGGGAAACCCUGACCGAGCAAUGCCGCGUGAGUGAUGAAGGCCUUCGGGUUGUAAAGCUCUGUUGUAAGGGAAGAAUGCUGGUGAUAGGGAAUGAUCACCAGGUGACGGUACCUUACCAGAAAGCCACGGCUAACUACGUGCCAGCAGCCGCGGUAAUACA